GAACGCUGGCGGCGUGCCUAAUACAUGCAAGUAGAACGCACAGGAUGCACCGUAGUUUACUACACCGUAUUCUGUGAGUUGCGAACGGGUGAGUAACGCGUAGGUAACCUGCCUGGUAGUGGGGGAUAACUAUUGGAAACGAUAGCUAAUACCGCAUAAGAACAUUUACUGCAUGGUAGAUGUUUAAAAGGUGCAAAAGCAUCACUACCAGAUGGACCUGCGUUGUAUUAGCUAGUUGGUGAGGUAACGGCUCACCAAGGCAACGAUACAUAGCCGACCUGAGAGGGUGAUCGGCCACACUGGGACUGAGACACGGCCCAGACUCCUACGGGAGGCAGCAGUAGGGAAUCUUCGGCAAUGGGGGGAACCCUGACCGAGCAACGCCGCGUGAGUGAAGAAGGUUUUCGGAUCGUAAAGCUCUGUUGUUAAGGAAGAACGUGUGUGAGAGUGGAAAGUUCACACA
Molecule: ribosomal RNA, 463 nt
Filed under: Streptococcus constellatus
Lineage: Bacteria; Bacillati; Bacillota; Bacilli; Lactobacillales; Streptococcaceae
Description: bacterial SSU rRNA
Rfam family: Bacterial small subunit ribosomal RNA
Source: RNAcentral